Long non-coding RNA from Pezoporus occidentalis (night parrot), 283 nucleotides. RefSeq lists it as uncharacterized. The transcript has 3 exons. The record is from RefSeq and is a predicted model, not a curated record. Lineage: Eukaryota; Metazoa; Chordata; Aves; Psittaciformes; Psittacidae.
GGGGACCAUGCCCAGCUCAGGACCCCGCGGCAGGAUCGAGCCGCCCUCGCUCCCCCCCCCCCCCAAAGGAUGGGAGACCCCUUUGGCGGCUGGAGGAGCCCCGCGAUGCGGAGGGAGCACGAGGACAGCUCCCCCCUGCGCCACUCCAACAGCUUCGCCCGCCCCACCGGGAAAAGCAUCUACAACCAGCGCAAGGGCUACGGCCGGACCCUGCUCCAGCCCCAGAGCGAUUUCCAGCACCACGUCGAGGUGGGAGCCCCCCAAAUCCCCCUCAAACCGCGCC